AACGGCAGCACAGGAGAGCUUGCUCUCUGGGUGGCGAGUGGCGGACGGGUGAGGAAUACAUCGGAAUCUACUCUGUCGUGGGGGAUAACGUAGGGAAACUUACGCUAAUACCGCAUACGACCUACGGGUGAAAGCAGGGGACCUUCGGGCCUUGCGCGAUUGAAUGAGCCGAUGUCGGAUUAGCUAGUUGGCGGGGUAAAGGCCCACCAAGGCGACGAUCCGUAGCUGGUCUGAGAGGAUGAUCAGCCACACUGGAACUGAGACACGGUCCANACUAAUACGGGAGGCAGCAGUGGGGAAUAUUGGACAAUGGGCGCAAGCCUGAUCCAGCCAUACCGCGUGGGUGAAGAAGGCCUUC
Molecule: ribosomal RNA, 358 nt
Filed under: Stenotrophomonas maltophilia
Lineage: Bacteria; Pseudomonadati; Pseudomonadota; Gammaproteobacteria; Lysobacterales; Lysobacteraceae
Description: bacterial SSU rRNA
Rfam family: Bacterial small subunit ribosomal RNA
Source: RNAcentral